UCCUCCAGCCUCUCGCUGAUCUCCUCCAGCUCUCGGGACAGGUCUGAGCGCAGCUUCUCCACCUUGGCCCUGGCUGUGCGCUCGGCCUCCAGUUCCUCCUCCAGCUCCUCGAUGCGGGCCUGGCCGGGGACACGGAGGUUCAGACCUGCUUCCUGGACCCCUCCGUGGAGGCCCCCCACCCCAGGGCUCUAAAGGCCCCCUGGUCUACAGAGAACAGCAAGUCCAUGAUGCUCUCCUGGGUCAGCUUCAGGUCACCCUCCAGCUUCCGCUUUGCUCGCUCCAGGUCCAUGCGCACCUUCUUCUCCUGCUCCAGGGAUCCCUCCAGCUAGAGGAGAGAAGGACCAGCUAUGUGCCAUGAGCUCUGCCCUGCAGGUUCGAGAGGCACAAGGGGUGAGCCUCCCAGGGCUGCAGAUAAGACAGCUACUGUUGCCUGGCCCACCCCGACCUGUGUUCAGACGUGGAUGCAAUCUUUGUUCUUGCAAGUGGAGAAAGGGACAGGACAGGAAAAAUCUUCCCUUUUCCUACAGGCCCUGGGAGCGACGCUGGCGCCCAGCCUCUGGACAGAGCACAGGCGGUCCUUGUUCUCCCAGCAUGGCCUUUGCAAGCUUUGCUGCUUGGUGUCUAGGCAACCGCUUCAUGGUUUGGUUUGAAAUCCCCUUUCUUCCCCAGCACAGCUCUGAGCGCAUGCGGAUUAAUCCAGCUGCUUGGAUGUCAGUGUGAAGGAGAGAGGCAGGCCUGGGGGAUGGGGUCCAAAGCAGACCAGCAAAAUGUACAAUAUCAUCGUGAGAGCAAUGAAGAGUGACUGCAGCUCCAGACCAUGUAGCAGGUGAGAAUUGUGGCCUGGCAGGUAGGGCUGGUGGCUGAGAGCUGGUUACCUUGUGGUGGUGUGAGAUGCCAUGAGCUUGGAGACAAGAGGAAAGACUCAAGAGAGACCCACAGCCCAAGGAAGAAGGAAAGGAAAGAAGAAGCCCACAGAGACUAGACGGAGAUGGUAAGAUCUGACCGGUCUACAGCAAUACCGGUACCAGCUUGGGUUCUCCCAUGCCCUGGCUCCAGUGGGACUUUUGCCUGUCUCCUCAGGCCCAAUCAUUGAAGUGGCUUCCAGUCCGGUACCACCCACCUAUCCGAGACACAUAAAAGCAAUCAAGGGAAACUUUGGUGGCACCUCAGAUCUGCUCAGUCACACCGUUCUUGUGUCUCCAGUGUUUUUCAAGAGAUGUGUGUCUAAGGAGUGUCGGAGAGCAUCACAUAUCCCGUUAGUGGCUGUUAACAUAUGGAUACGUGUGUGUGUGUGUGCAAUCUUAGAGUCUCUCAGUCAUCAUUCCCACACUGCUAUAAUCACACCAUUUGUAUAACUUCAAAUGUUACACUAAUAACUAUAAAAAGAGGAUUAAAAGGGGCUUGGUGCUGGGGCCCAGCUCAGCGGAUAAAGUGUUUGCCUCAAAAUCAUGAGGACUGGAGUUUGAAUCCCCAGAACCUACAUAAAAGCAGGUGUGGUGGCCAUGUGUAAAGGCAAGUGGGUGUAGUGGCCAUGUGUAAAGGCAAGUGGGUGUGGUGGCCAUGUGUAAAGGCAAGUGGGUGUGGUGGCCAUGUGUAAAAACAGGCGGGGGUGGUGGCCCAUGUGUCGCUCCAGUGUUUGAAAGUCCAGGACAGGGGAUCCUUGGAGCAAGAUGGCUUUUUAUAUAGAGACCCUGCAAAUGAGUUUUGUGCUCAAUUAAGAGACCCAUCCUUGUCGGGCGGUGAUGGCGCAUGCCUUUAAUCCCAGCACUUGGGAGGCAGAGGCAGGUAGAUCUCUGUGAGUUCAAGGCCAGCCUGGUCUACAGAGUGAGUUCCAGGACAGCCAGGGCUAUACAGGGAAACCCUGUCUCAAAAAAAAAAAAAAGAAAGAGAAUAGCUUGUUUUUAAAAGGGGGGCUGGAGAGUUGGCUCAGCGGUUAAGAUCACUGGCUGCCCUUCCAGAGGACCUGGGUUUGAUUCCUAGCACAAACAUGGUAGCUCACAACCAUCUGUAAUUCCAGUUGCAGGAAAUCUGUUGCCCUCUUCUGUCCUCCAGAGACACUGAAAGCACAUGGUACACAGACAUGCAUGCAGGCAAAACACCCAUACAUGUAAAAUAAUUAUGUAAAUAAAAUCUUUAAAACAAAUAAGGAAUGUCUCCUAAAUAUAAAGACACAGAUAUAUUCAAAGUGAAAGGACGGAUCUGGCGGUGAUGGUGUGUGCCGAUAACCCUGGUUUUCAGGAGGUAGAAGCAGGAGGGAAAAGAUCCAGAAUUCAAGAUCAGUUUAGGCAGAAAAAAAAAAAAGUAAAAGCAUGAAAAAUAGACACAACCAAUACUGACCAAAACAGAGAUGGAGUAAUUACAUUGAUUUUAGACCACAAGGACCUUUAAGGAAAGAAAAUUAUCAGGGGUAAAGAGUGGCAUUAAAUGAUAAGGAGGUCAGUUCUCCCGAAGACACAAUAGUUCUUACUGUUGGCUACUGAAGUGCCAGGAAAAAGCCUCACCUGUGUUAAAGAUUCUUUAGGCUGAUUAACUGAUGAGAAGUUCCGUGUUGGGAAGUGUUUGGAAUGUUGCAGAUCUAGAGCCGACUUAUCUUGGCUAUCAUUAGCCCUAUUAAUAGCCAUCAGAGCCCACUUCUGUGUCUGGCCUAGCAUCCUUGUGAGUAUCAGGUGACAUCUUUUGGAAUAUACAGUUUCCACCAACCCAGAGCUGAGACGAUCAUCAGCUACACCUGCCGCCCAAGCUCAGGCUUCUUUGCUGGGCCUGCCUACCUGAUGAUCUCAUCGAUGCAUUGAAAAGGGUCUUGAUUCAGGGUUUUCUCUAUUCUUUCAUUAUAACAACUUCAUCAAACUAUUGUCAGGUUGAAACACGUAUUGGGUAACCCGAAUCCAUGUUCCCAGGUCAUAGCCACUCAUAAUUGGUUCCAGAAUAAACCAUCCCCUAUUCCCUUUGAAGUGAGAGCUAUGUCCUUGUAUCAACACCUAACAAGAAAGGGUCAGAAUAUAUGAGCAAAAACUUCCAGAAGUUCAAGAGAUCUAGAUAAAUCCACUAUCACAGUCGAUGAUUUCAACUUCCCUCUACUAAAUGAUAGACCUCAGAAGCAGAAAGUCUCAAAGGCCUAACUGAACCAAAUAGCAAUCAAUUAACUAGCUCUAACUGGCUAGUAAAAAACACUUUCUCCAGCCGGGUGGUGGUGGUGCAUGACUUUAAUCCCAGCACUGGGAGGCAGAGGCAGGUGAAUCUCUGAGUUGGAGGCCAGCCUGGUCUACAGGACAGCCAGGGCUAUACAGAGAAGGUCUGUCUUGAAAAAUCAAAACCAAACAAAACAAAGCCAAAAACCAAAUAAGCAAAACUGAAUGGACCAAUAUGUUGCAUUUAUAUAUACUUAUGUGUCUAUUUAUACAUUUGUAUCUGUCUAUACAUAUGUAUAUACAUGAAUACAUAGAUGUGUGUGUAAAACAAUAAUCAAGAAGAAAUCAUGAAGUUGAGAUGGAGAGGGAGGACACAGAACGAGUUGGAGGAAGGAGAAUGUUGGGUAGAAAUUGUGUAAAUACGUACACAUAUGAAAUUUUCAAAAGUGAUAAAAGAAAUGUUAACAACUGCUGUGGAUAUCGCUCGAUAUAAAUAAAGCACUGAUUGGCCAGUGACCAGGCAGGAAGUAUAGGCGGGACAAGGAGAGAGGAGAAUUGAGGAAGGAGGAAGGAAAGAGGGACCGGCUGGAGCCACCGCCAAGACAAGGAAGACGUAAAGUACCGGUAAGCCACGAGCCACGUGGCAAAGUAAAGAUUAAUAGAAAUGGGCUGAAUAUAAGAGUGAGAGCUAGACAAUGAUAGGCCUGAGCUAAUGGCCAAGCAGUUUAAAUAAUGUAA
Peromyscus californicus insignis is the source of this 3866-nucleotide long non-coding RNA. RefSeq lists it as uncharacterized. The record is from RefSeq and is a predicted model, not a curated record. Lineage: Eukaryota; Metazoa; Chordata; Mammalia; Rodentia; Cricetidae. The transcript has 6 exons.